This is a long non-coding RNA of Triticum aestivum (bread wheat), 3242 nucleotides long. RefSeq lists it as uncharacterized. NCBI's taxonomy places the organism in Eukaryota, Viridiplantae, Streptophyta, Magnoliopsida, Poales, Poaceae. The transcript is spliced from 2 exons. The record is from RefSeq and is a predicted model, not a curated record.
UUUCGUCCGUCCUUUGAUUUGUAAAAAGAAAUAAACCAGCACGGGCUCUCCUCCUCGAUGCCUACAGGCACGGCGCCGCCGCGCGGCCGAUCUUCUUCCCCGGCCCUUUGCAAUUCUGUCUCCUUCCCCUCUCCAUCUGCCCAAAUCUUCUCCUGCGCCACCCUGAGCCUUCUCGGUCUCCAACCAGCUCCUGCAAUCUUCAAGCCCUCCGGCACCCAAUCCGCCUACAAUCUUCAAGCCCGCCGGCCCCAAAAGUAACCAGCGGUCGAUUCGAGUGAUCCCGCUAGGAAUCCAUGGGAUUUGAGGUAGAUUUCCUAGGAGAGCGAGUAGGAAGGGUGAUGGUGGGGUUCAUGGGGAAGAUGAAAAAGCAGAAGGUGAUCCACGGCCCGCACGCGAUGCCGAGCCACCGCGGGCCUCCUCCCCUGCCGCUCGCCGCCAUGCCAGGACGGCGUACUGGGCCUUGCCGGACGCCGAGGACAAGCGAGACAAUGGCCAUCCACCCUGGGCCAAGGUGUGUGUGCCUGAAAAUCUUUUCUCACUGUACAAUUUCUCCGUCUCGAUUCUUCCAUACGGUGUGGGCUGCCUUGGCAUAGACGGUGACUGGCUCGAGUGUGGAGGACAAGCACAGAGCGACCAACGGCGAUAACUAUGCUCGGGCAGAUGGAUUCCGCCGCGGUGGAGUUCGAGAUACGAACAGGAGAACAGUAGCUGUGAUGACUCAACAAGAUGGAAGUGCGGGACAAGGGAUGAGUGCAAUCGGCUCAAGUAAACUCCUCAUGUACACCGUCUGGCAUCAGUUCCAGUUGCGCCCGAAGCUUUCAAUCUUGCUGCUCCACUUAGUUUGCCGAAACACUGUCGGCGUGUGCUCCAUCCAAGGUACGCCAUCGUCCAAUUCUAUCACCAGUUUUGAACUUUAAACUAAUGACUAAGGGGUCGGAGUGGCCAGGCCUGAAAGUUCAAGGAAGAUUCAGCUUAGAUCUGAAUUCCUUUGUAUUGCCUACAAUGUUAUAGCUUAAAUUCUGCUAAUAAAUUUCUAUAAAUGAUAUUCGAAACAAUUUCUUAGAGAUGGGUUGUGCACAAGGAUGCACAUUGUAGAUCUGUUAACUUAAGUUUUGAAUAAUGAGAUAUGUUCAUAUGCUUUGCUCACUAUUAUUCCUAAUUUUCUCUGGACAGAAAGACUGAAGUUUAUUGCUUUUGUUCAGCCGAAUGCUACUUGAUCAGUACUUAACCAAGAUUGGCAGCCAUUAUAGCUGGUGUAGAACUCAGAUAUACACAUUGAAUGUUCCGAUAUGCCAAAAUAAACACAUUAGAAUCUUUUUAAUUAUAUUCCUACUAUUUUUUCGAGAUUGCUCUGCGGUUGCUAAUUUUGAUGUUCUGCUAUACUACUAUUGCAUAUAGAGAGAGAUGAGAGAGGAGAGCAGCAGCCCGCUGCUGCAUUUUGUUCAUUCUGCUGCUUGGUUACUACACAUCUAUAGAGAACACAGAGAAGGCUGCUGCUUGCUGAUUACAAUUGCUUCAUGAUAUGUACAUAUCCUCAUGUAUGCUGCUGCUAGGUACCCUUGAUCAUGGUGACAAGGAAUCGAUGCUGCAGCGGUAGGGAUCUCGUGGCCAUGGAGUGGCAGCCGCUAUGUACAUACAUAACUCCAGCGAGUCAUGGUGAGGAGACUUUGAUCUUUACAUGUUAGAUUCAGAGUGGAUAUACGUUACUACAUGUAGGCCCCAUAUGCCAUACGAGUUCCUCCAUUUUUUUAUGUUAGCUGAUGAGCUUUCUUCUCCACUCUACACAGAUUGGUCCUGCAUGAUGCAUCCAUGGCUUAGGAUAAGAAAUGACUGUUUCCAUCUAAAUGUUAUUCAUUUAUUAUUAUUUUUUUCUAAAUCAAUUGAGGAGAACAUAUAAAGAAAAAACAAGUUACUCAUCUGAUUCAUUUGCAAAAUUCAGUACUCCCUCCGUUCGAAAAUACUUGUCAUUGAAAUGAAUGUAUCUAGAUGUAUUUUAGUUCUAGAUACAUCCAUUUUCAUUCAUUUUGAUGACAAGUAUUUCCGGACGGAGGGAAUUCUUUCUUAUACUGCUCUGUUUUAGGAGAUGGAAUAAAGAGAAAAAGAAAUUUCUUAAACAUACAAAUUCAGAUUCUCAAAAGAAAAGUAAUAGUAACAAAGCAUUUUUUAUUUUCUAUAAUAGUUUUUAUUACGAUUCACAUAUUUUAUCUUCGUAGAUUCUAGAAGUUCUUAAGCUUACUAUGAAAAAACGGAAGUUUCUUUUAUAAGGUUCAGUAGCUGCUUCAUGUUGUACUGAUUAGUUUCCAUUAAUUUGAAAAAAAUUAGCUCACGUUGCUCUCUUUAGCUGCCAUUUGCACUUGAAGGUCAGGAUCGAGGCAGGAGGUGAGGAAGUGGGGAUCAGGCUGUAAGCUAGGGUUAAGAAGGCAGUUUUUAUUUUCUAUAAUAUGUUUUUAUUACGAUUCACAUAUUUUUAUCUUUGUAAAUUCUACAAGUUCUUAAGCUCACUAUGAAAAAACAGAAGUUUCUUUUAUAAGGUUCAGUAGCUACUUCAUGUUGUACUGAUUAGUUUCUAAUAAUUUGAAAAAAAAUUAGCUCACGUUGCUCUCUUUAGCUGCCAUUUGCAAUUGAAGGUCAGGAUCGAGGCAGGAGGUGAGGAAGUGGGGAUCGGGCUGUGAGCUAGGGUUAACAAGGCAGUUUUUAUUUUCUAUAAUAUGUUUUUAUUACGAUUCAAAUAAUUUAUCUUUAUAGAUUCUACAAGUUCUUAAGCUCACUAUGAAAAAACAUAAGUUUCUUUUAUAAGGUUCAGUAGCCGCUUCAUGUUGUACUGAUUAGUUUCUAUUAAUUUGAAGAAAAUUAGCUCACGUUGCUCUCUUUAGCUGCCAUUUGCACUUGAAGGUCAAGAUCGAGGCAGGAGGUGAGGAAGUGGGGUUGGGCUGUGAGCUAGGGUUAUGGGGCUGGCUGGGCCUUAGGUGGGACAGCCUGGCCAGUUGGCCCAGCUGGCUGGCUGGCUGCUGCUCAAAACAAGUUCGUUGUAUAUAGCUUUUCCCUUGCCGAUAGCUCGAUCUGAUUUUUUCAUGUCUAUGCUAUAGAAGAGCUUGUAGUAUUCAAAUGUAGUUUCUCACACAAUAGUACUGGGCGCACUCAUUGUUAAAGUCAGUUGUAGUGUAAGAAAAUCAAAGAAAACAUGUGUGAAUAAUGAAUGAGAUGACAUACCUUUUAGAUGUUCUUCAAUAAUUUUUGUUCUA